This is a long non-coding RNA of Mustela lutreola (European mink), 1036 nucleotides long. RefSeq lists it as uncharacterized. The record is from RefSeq and is a predicted model, not a curated record. NCBI's taxonomy places the organism in Eukaryota, Metazoa, Chordata, Mammalia, Carnivora, Mustelidae. The transcript is spliced from 2 exons.
GGUAAAUGAAAAGUGCAAUGAAAUCAAAUCGGAAUGAAUUUUAGAAUUUCCUUCAAUGUGGCCCACGCUAUGCCAGAGGCAGAGAAUGAAUGAAUCUCAAAGACAUGGCUUCUGGCCCCCAGGAGUUACAAUGAUCUGUGUCAACAUUGGCAUGCCUGAGAAAUGCAUGUGACUUUCCCAUCAGGGUUUCCCCGGGGGUUCAGUUAACCUUUCUCUUCCAAGCUACCCUCUCUUGUAGUGAUAUCAACUGUGCCCUUGGUUUCAGCUCCCAUUCCCUAGCCAACAUCUCUCCCACUGAUACACGACCAUCUGUUUCUUUCCUACCCACCAGGCCCGUGUAACUGAUUACCUACUCAUGCUAUUUCACUGAUGUCCCACCUGUGCCUCAAAACCCAGCAUGUUCAAAACUUGAUUCAUCAUCGUUUCUGAAAGAACGGCUUAUCCUCUUUUGUUUUGUUUCUUUAGAAAUGAUUCUACCAAUGCCAGCGGCAUGCACCAGAAACCAGGAAGGAAUCAUACAGCUGAGCCAACCUGCUGUCCUUUAAAACACUUGACCACAAUUCUCCAGUGGAUACUCAACUCUGGCUUCAAACUCCCUUGUCUCUCCGCUCCUGUCCUAGGGAUGAGGGAGCAGAAGGCAAGCUUAGGACAAAGCAGAAACUGGCACCCUACACCCUCUCCCCAUACCAUAUGUGUAACAUUCCUCAUGCACUCCCGGCUGCCCUAAAGGAAAAAUGAUGCUUAACUGAUAGAGAUCCCAGUCCUGCAGGACAGGAGUCUCCCUCCAUCUACAAAUGUCCUAGCGACUUACAAGGAAGGAAGAAGCUUUCUCAUCAAUAGCCUGACUUCCAGAGACCCAUACCUCAGUUUCCGGAAGCCCUAACAUCACCCUCCCCUCCAUAAAAUUGAGGGAGGCUAAGGGGAAGGGAAGUGUAAUAAAACUGAAUUUCUUCUAAGCCCAAAGCCCACUGACAAGGAUGUGUGAUAGGAGGAAUGUAACAUAUCUCCAGGAAACUCCCGACUGUCUUCAUGCUUU